This 289-nucleotide long non-coding RNA is filed under the name Linum usitatissimum (flax). Its description in RNAcentral is "long non-coding RNA (LUSI_LNC007413)". Lineage: Eukaryota; Viridiplantae; Streptophyta; Magnoliopsida; Malpighiales; Linaceae. The record is from RNAcentral.
AAGAGAUUUGAAGUCGGUUUGGAGGGGAGGAAGAUGACCAAUCAUCUAGUUUAUUUCUUAUUUUCUAUUUUUUUUGUAUUUUUAUGUAAUUUUAAUUAUUUUUAAUAAUUAUGUGGUCAUAUUUUAUAUUAACAUUGCCUAAUUUUUAUUUUUAUAUUCAUUCGAUAAGUGUGAUUUCAAUUAUUAUUGAUUUUAGAAGUAUUGUGAGUGGAAGCCAAAAUAGGUUGAAAUUCAGCUGAAGCCAAUCAUUGCAAGCCACAUCAUUUAAUGAAAAAACCGGAGCCGUAAA